This 436-nucleotide ribosomal RNA is filed under the name uncultured bacterium. RNAcentral describes it as "partial 16S ribosomal RNA". It matches the Rfam family "Bacterial small subunit ribosomal RNA", at positions 29 to 507 of the family's 1533-position model. The record is from RNAcentral.
AACGAACGCUGGCGGCAUGCCUAACACAUGCAAGUCGAACGAUGGUCUUCGGAUCAUAGUGGCGCACGGGUGCGUAACGCGUGGGAAUCUGCCCUUGGGUUCGGAAUAACAGUUGGAAACGACUGCUAAUACCGGAUGAUGUCGAUAAGACCAAAGAUUUAUCGCCCGAGGAUGAGCCCGCGUCGGAUUAGCUAGUUGGUGGGGUAAAGGCCUACCAAGGCGACGAUCCGUAGCUGGUCUGAGAGGAUGAUCAGCCACACUGGGACUGAGACACGGCCCAGACUCCUACGGGAGGCAGCAGUGGGGAAUAUUGGACAAUGGGCGCAAGCCUGAUCCAGCAAUGCCGCGUGAGUGAUGAAGGCCUUAGGGUUGUAAAGCUCUUUUAACCGGGAAGAUAAUGACUGUACCGGGAGAAUAAGCCCCGGCUAACUCCGUG